GGGGAUGGAUCCUCCCCCAAGUCUGGCAAAGCAGGAAGCCUCGUGCUAAGGAUGCCCUGUUCUAAUCAAGCUAAAAUAUGUCAGUCGUUUGACAUAUUGGUCCUACCCAAUUCACAAUCAAUAUUCCAACCACAAGAUAAUUGCCCAAUCAACUAGUAAGAGUUGAAUCCUAAAAAAGUAAAAUGAGAUGUAAAGUUUUUUGCACAGCGCCACCAAAAAUCCCAUCUUUAGCUGCUCUUUAACAUUAAUAAUUUCCAGAUUCCAAGUUUAGAAAAACCCUAUCCCCAGCCAUCCAAUUUCAAUACACAAAAUUGCGAAAAAGAUUAAGGAAAAGAUAUGAUAGAAUUAGUCAAUAAAUUUAGCUCAACAAUAAGCAAACCACAAGGAAAGCGUAAGUUUACAUUGCUGCCCUUCCAGACUUGGUA
RNAcentral lists this unclassified non-coding RNA (425 nucleotides) under Hevea brasiliensis (rubber tree). Lineage: Eukaryota; Viridiplantae; Streptophyta; Magnoliopsida; Malpighiales; Euphorbiaceae. The record is from RNAcentral.